RNAcentral lists this long non-coding RNA (730 nucleotides) under Malus domestica (apple). Its description in RNAcentral is "long non-coding RNA (MDOM_LNC006854)". The record is from RNAcentral. Lineage: Eukaryota; Viridiplantae; Streptophyta; Magnoliopsida; Rosales; Rosaceae.
UGUUGUUGUUGUUGUUGUUGUAUACUUUGAGAUCGUAUACGCCAAAAAUCACAAAAAACAAACAUUUAGAGAUCAAUUAACGGGACAAAAAAUUUCAACUAUUAUAAACAAAAAUCACGAUUUAUCGGUUAUUUUAACUCCAAUUUUGAUGAUUUUUUACAACUACACUCCUUCACCCUAUAUGAAUACAAUGACAGAAUUCGAUUUUCAAUUUAAAAUAUUUACACUAGUAGAUACCACAAAAUCUUAUAUUAUACUUGAUGAAAGUAUAAAUAAACUCUUAAGUGUUAGUGAAUCUAUUGUUUUGGUGCGAUACGCAUUCUACGAAACUAGUUUUAACGAUCCAAUCGUCAAACUUAUUUGUAUAUAUUCAAGAUCGCAUACGACAAAAAACGCAAAAAACAAACAUUCAGAGGUCAAGUAACAGGACAAAACUUUUCGAUGGUUAUAAACGAAAAAUCAUGAUUUAACAGUUAUUUUAACUUCGAUUUUGAUGAUUUUUUUAUAGCUAUACUCCUUGACCCUAUAUAAAUACAAUGACUAAAUUUGAUCUUCAAUUUAAAAUAUUUACACUAGUGGAUACCACAAAAUUUUGUGUUAUACUUAAUGAAAGUAUAAAUAAACUCUAAGUGUUAAUGAAUCUAUUGUUUUGAUAGGAUACGCAUUUUACGAAACUAGUAUCAAUGAUCCAACCGUCAGAUUUAUUUGUAUAUACUUCAAGAUCGCAUAC